UACGGGGGGGGCAAGCGUUGUUCGGAAUUACUGGGCGUAAAGGGCUCGUAGGCGGCCAACUAAGUCCGACGUGAAAUCCCCAGGCUUAACCUGGGAACUGCGUCGGAUACUGGAUGGCUUGAAUUCGGGAGAGGGAUGCAGAAUUCCAGGUGUAGCGGUGAAAUGCGUAGAUAUCUGGAGGAAUACCGGUGGCGAAGGCGGCAUCCUGGACCGACAUUGACGCUGAUGAGCGAAAGCGAGGGGAGCAAACGGG
RNAcentral lists this ribosomal RNA (253 nucleotides) under uncultured bacterium. Its description in RNAcentral is "partial 16S ribosomal RNA". It matches the Rfam family "Bacterial small subunit ribosomal RNA", at positions 524 to 776 of the family's 1533-position model. The record is from RNAcentral.